RNAcentral lists this unclassified non-coding RNA (220 nucleotides) under plant metagenome. RNAcentral describes it as "partial contains small subunit ribosomal RNA, internal transcribed spacer 1, and 5.8S ribosomal RNA". The record is from RNAcentral.
UUUCCGUAGGUGAACCUGCGGAAGGAUCAUUACAGAGUUCAUGCCCUCACGGGUAGAUCUCCCACCCUUGAAUAUUUAUACCUUAGUUGCUUUGGCAGGCCGUGGAAACACCAUGGGCUCCGGCUUAUCCGUGCCUGCCAGAGGAAACAAACUCUGUUUUUAGUGAUGUCUGAGUACUAUAUAAUAGUUAAAACUUUCAACAACGGAUCUCUUGGUUCUG